AGCCUUACUUUCAGCUUUUCUUCUGCAGCUCUCUCACCUAGCUCAGCCUUCACAGAAUUGAAGAGAAUUAUGACCUUGCUCUGACUAGGCUUUGGCUUAUGCGAAUGUUGUGACUGAUUUGAUCUUCUAUCCAGACCACUCAGACUUUCUCCAUAUCAGCAAUAAGGCUGUUUUGCUUUCUUAUCAUUUAUGUGUUCACUGGAGUAGCACUUAUUUCCUUCAAGAACUUUUCCUUUGCAUUCACAACUUGGUUAACAGGCACAAGAGACCUAGCUUGUGGCCUAGCUCAGCUUUUGACAUGUCUUCCUCUCAAAGCUCAAUCAUUUCUAGCUUUUGAUUUAAAGUGAGAGAUGUACUACUCUUUCUUUCACUUGAACAGUUAGAGGCCAAUGUAGGGUUAUGAAUUGUCCUAAUUUCAAUAUUGCUGAGUCUCAGGGACUAGAGAGGCCCAAGGAGAGGGAGAGAGAUGUGGGAACAGCCGGUUGGUAGAGCUGUCAGAACACGCACAACAUGUAGCGAUUGAAUUUGCCGCCUUCUAUGGGUGCAGUUCAUGGUGCCCCAAAGCAAUUACAAUAGCAACAUCGAAGACCCCUGAUCACAGAUCACCAUAACUGUAUCAUAAUGUUGAAAUUUUGAAUUGUUGCCAGAAUUACCAAAAUGCGACACAGAAACAGGCAGUGAGAGCACACGUUCUCACAGGGUUGCCACCGACUUUCAAUUCGUAAAAACUGCAGUAUCUGUGAAGUACAGUGAAGUGAGAAGCAGUAAAGGGAGGUAUUUCUGUGCUGUAAUCAGUCAUGAAUUAGACGGGCUUUUCUGGAUUCACUUGGGAAUCCAGCGUUGGGUGAUAUGUGUGUAAGGAAAUAUAGUCUCAGUUUUAAACAACCACUUUACAAAUGAAUAUGUGGAGCACAACCCAUUUAUCAUGUGAGGAUUAUCCAGGUGAAACUGCCCUUACCAAAGUCAUCUUUUGACUCCUCUGGGAAUGAUUCUUCCUUGUACGUGUUCCUCAGGGCCCUAAGUCUACUUGCUGCUUGUCUAUUGACCAUGUUUUCUUAUUGAAUGCCUACAAAAGUUAAGUGAUGAAUAAAAAGAGAAGGAUGCAUUUAAACCACUUCUGCUAUUUGGAAAUUCUGCAUAAUCCCUUAGUUUGGUGAAGAGUGAUCUAUCUCAACAAGGCAGUUUUGGUUUAAACGGUGCAUUUUCUUUCUCCAUUUUCCCUCUGAUCCCCAAUGCCAUGACUAAUUAAGUUAUGAAAAGCCCUUCAGUUGCUUGGAGAGAAGGGUGCUUAUGGAAUCUGCACACAUUUUUGAAAUAAAUGGCGAGGCAAAUUGCAUCAACUUUCCUUCUUUCCUUGAUCCAUUUUUUGCAGGUUUCUGAGCUUCCUUUGGGGGCUUCAUGAAUGCUGCAUGUCUAACAAAUGUAGCACAAAAUAGUAGGGUCUAAUAAAGCCAACGUGUGUGCUUAUUUCUAUUUUCCAGGCACAUACUGCACGCGUAACCAGGGGCAGUACCUUCCUCAUGGAUUCCAGCACUACAGCUUUGUGCCAUCUGCAUCCCUUCAGACCUUUACGGGUGAAAGGCAUUGGGUGUUGUGAAGAGUCAGGACAUACGAAAACAAAGAAGACGUGGUCUCUUCCUUCAAGAUGCUCACAGUCUAGUCGUGGGAGAGAGAAUGAAACCAUUAGUACUAACAAUUGUGACUACGUGCAACAGUUGCUGGUAGAAGAACAUCAACUCAGUCCUGGACCAAGCUGGGGAGGAAGCAGGGGCACUGCUCUUCCUUAGAAAGAUGAUGUUUGAGACAGUGAGAGAAAACAUGGAGUGAUGAGA
Molecule: long non-coding RNA, 1832 nt
Filed under: Homo sapiens (human)
Lineage: Eukaryota; Metazoa; Chordata; Mammalia; Primates; Hominidae
Description: HSALNT0358289
Source: RNAcentral